This 253-nucleotide ribosomal RNA is filed under the name uncultured bacterium. RNAcentral describes it as "partial 16S ribosomal RNA". It matches the Rfam family "Bacterial small subunit ribosomal RNA", at positions 524 to 776 of the family's 1533-position model. The record is from RNAcentral.
UACGUAGGGUGCAAGCGUUGUCCGGAAUUAUUGGGCGUAAAGAGCUCGUAGGCGGCUGUUCAAGUCGAACGUGAAAACUCGGAGCUCAACUCCGAGCCUGCGUUCGAGACUGGAUGGCUAGAGUCUGGUAGGGGGAUCUGGAAUUCACGGUGUAGCAGUGAAAUGCGUAGAGAUCGUGAGGAAGACCAGUGGCGAAGGCGGGUCUCUGGACAGUUCCUGACACUGAGGCACGAAGGCCAGGGGAGCAAACGGG